GAAAAAGUCCCAAGUAUUAAAAUACCAAUGGACAUCAUGGAGCCUUUCCUAAGUGAUAGCAAACCUGCCGACACGUGUUUAUACUGGUGUGUGCAUCUAAACAAGCCUUUGGGAAACUGGGUUUCACCAGGACAUGAGGGAACACACUAAAAGCUUCGUCCAAAAAUUAAAAUAAGAAGAAAGAAUCCCCGGGCUGUCCAGGUGAAUUCCCUGAUGGAGACAACCCCACUGCAGAGGAAGGGCAUGUGCUGCCGCUUGGUCCUUGUGAAACCAAAGUUCCUGUUGGUGAAGUCGAGAGGAUUUUCUGAUGGUGCUGAGACCUUAAAUGCCAAAUUUGAGCAUCUGUUCCCACGAAGGAGCCGUCCCCUCUGUACAUCCCCCGCUCACUCUCAAGGGGUCUUCGCUUCCGUUUCCAUGAAAGCUGUGUUGUAUGUCACAGGAACGCAGCUGAAACCUGCUCUGAAAAGGCUGGAGAGACGUGGGAAAAGGCCUGAAGAGGAGCAGCUCAAUCCAAAUUGGGUAUUUCGUAGGAAAAGCCUGGGUGGGCGCUUCAGGGAAUAGGUGUGGAGGCUGACCCAAAGCCCUCUGAGAUCAGAGUCGGCCGUCAACAACGACCUUCCCCUCACAAAUCCAAGGUCCCAGCUCCCGGUGGGACCCCUGACGGCCACCAGCCACAGCCAGCUUUGUCCCAGCUCCGGGAACACGGUGGCCACCAGCCUCUGGCCUGCUGAUACACCUUUGUAUUUGGAUUUUGAUUUUGAAUCAACAGCACUUUCAGCUACUUUUAUUAUUGUUUUUAAUUCUCCUAAGUCUGUAUUUGCUUUGGAGGAGAGAAUGAAAACUUGGGAUGAAAUGAAGUGGAUCAGGAUGGUGGAACAAAAAGGAAAAAAGCAGAAAACGUUUCAAAUCUUAUUCAAGUGAUUUUUUUUCCCAGUAAUAGAAACCGUGAAAUUCCUUAUAACAUUGUAGUAUUUUACAGUUUUAUGAAGCUUUCUAUUGUGACUUUUAUGGAAUCAAAAGAUGAUGAGAUAUUUUAGCAUUUCUAUUUUUCAAAAUUAAAUGUCUACUGAAAAUAAAGUAGCUUUAUGCAUUUA
This is a long non-coding RNA of Pipra filicauda (Wire-tailed manakin), 1094 nucleotides long. RefSeq lists it as uncharacterized. Lineage: Eukaryota; Metazoa; Chordata; Aves; Passeriformes; Pipridae. The transcript has 2 exons. The record is from RefSeq and is a predicted model, not a curated record.